UAGGGAAUCUUCGGCAAUGGGGGGAACCCUGACCGAGCAACGCCGCGCGAGUGAAGAAGGUUUUCGGAUCGUAAAGCUCUGUUGUUAAGGAAGAACGAGUGUGAGAAUGGAAAGUUCAUACUGUGACGGUACUUAACCAGAAAGGGACGGCUAACUACGUGCCAGCAGCCGCGGUAAUACGUAGGUCCCGAGCGUUGUCCGGAUUUAUUGGGCGUAAAGCGAGCGCAGGCGGUUAGAUAAGUCUGAAGUUAAAGGCGGUGGCUCAACCAUUGUAGGCUUUGGAAACUGUUUAACUUGAGUGCAGAAGGGGAGAGUGGAAUUCCAUGUGUAGCGGUGAAAUGCGUAGAUAUAUGGAGGAACACCGGUGGCGAAAGCGGCUCUCUGGUCUGUAACUGACGCUGAGGCUCGAAAGCGUGGGGAGCGAACAGG
This 429-nucleotide ribosomal RNA is filed under the name Bacteroidota bacterium. Its description in RNAcentral is "Bacteroidetes bacterium partial 16S ribosomal RNA". It matches the Rfam family "Bacterial small subunit ribosomal RNA", at positions 355 to 776 of the family's 1533-position model. Lineage: Bacteria; Pseudomonadati; Bacteroidota. The record is from RNAcentral.